AUAUUAAUAAGCGGAGGAAAAGAAACUAACAAGGAUUCCCCUAGUAACGGCGAGUGAAGCGGGAAGAGCUCAAACUUAAAAUCGGGAGGUCCUAGCGGCUUUCGAAUUGUAGUCUAAAGAGGUAACAUCAGUGUGCGUCCUGGGUAUAACUCCUUUGGAACAGGGGAUCAUAGAGGGUGAGAAUCCCGUCUUUGACUCAGCGUACGCCACGUACGAUGUGCUUUCAACGAGUCGAGUUGUUUGAGAUUGCAACUCAUGAAUA
RNAcentral lists this ribosomal RNA (262 nucleotides) under uncultured eukaryote. RNAcentral's name for it is "partial large subunit ribosomal RNA". It matches the Rfam family "Eukaryotic large subunit ribosomal RNA", at positions 40 to 295 of the family's 3401-position model. The record is from RNAcentral.